ACGGAGGGUGCAAGCGUUAAUCGGAAUUACUGGGCGUAAAGCGCGCGUAGGUGGUUUGUUAAGCUAGAUGUGAAAGCCCCGGGCUCAACCUGGGAAUUGCAUUUAGAACUGGCAGGCUAGAGUACAGAAGAGGACAGUGGAAUUUCUAGUGUAGCGGUGAAAUGCGUAGAUAUUAGAAGGAACACCAGUGGCGAAGGCGACUGUCUGGGCUGAUACUGACACUGAGGUGCGAAAGCGUGGGUAGCAAACAGGAUUAGAUACCCUGGUAGUCCACGCCGUAAACGAUGUCUACUAGCCGUUGGGACCCUUGUUGGUCUUAGUGGCGCAGCUAACGCAAUAAGUAGACCGCCUGGGGAGUACGGUCGCAAGAUUAAAACUCAA
RNAcentral lists this ribosomal RNA (381 nucleotides) under uncultured bacterium. RNAcentral describes it as "bacterial SSU rRNA". It matches the Rfam family "Bacterial small subunit ribosomal RNA", at positions 525 to 904 of the family's 1533-position model. The record is from RNAcentral.